Molecule: ribosomal RNA, 473 nt
Filed under: uncultured bacterium
Lineage: Bacteria
Description: bacterial SSU rRNA
Rfam family: Bacterial small subunit ribosomal RNA
Source: RNAcentral
AUUGAACGCUGGCGGAAUGCUUUACACAUGCAAGUCGAGGGGCAACACGGGUAGCAAUACCUGGUGGCGACCGGCGCAAGGGUGCGUAACGCGUGAGCAACAUGCCCUAUACAGGGGGAUAAUCCAGGGAAACUUGGUCUAAUAUCCCAUAGUAUUUAGAGGUGGCAUCACCACUAAAUUAAAGCUUCGGUGGUAUAGGAUUGGCUCGCGUGACAUUAGCUGGAUGGUGGGGUAACGGCUCACCAUGGCGAUGAUGUCUAGGGGUUCUGAGAGGAAGACCCCCCAACUGGGACUGAGACACGGCCCAGACUCCUACGGGAGGCAGCAGUGAGGAAUAUUGGACAAUGGAUGGAAAUCUGAUCCAGCCAUGCCGCGUGCAGGAAGACGGCCCUAAUGGGUUGUAAACUGCUUUUAUAUGGGACAAUAAGGUUUACGGUAGACCGAUGAGAGUACCAUAUGAAUAAGCAUCGGCU